Molecule: ribosomal RNA, 253 nt
Filed under: uncultured bacterium
Lineage: Bacteria
Description: partial 16S ribosomal RNA
Rfam family: Bacterial small subunit ribosomal RNA
Source: RNAcentral
UACGGGGGGGGCAAGCGUUGUUCGGAAUUACUGGGCGUAAAGGGCUCGUAGGUGGCCAACUAAGUCAGACGUGAAAUCCCUCGGCUUAACCGGGGAACUGCGUCUGAUACUGGAUGGCUUGAGUUCGGGAGAGGGAUGCGGAAUUCCAGGUGUAGCGGUGAAAUUCGUAGAUAUCAAGCGGAACACCGGUGGCGAAGGCGGCCUUCUGGACAGUGACUGACGCUGAGACGCGAAAGCGUGGGGAGCAAACAGG